Long non-coding RNA from Sander lucioperca (pikeperch), 601 nucleotides. RefSeq lists it as uncharacterized. Lineage: Eukaryota; Metazoa; Chordata; Actinopteri; Perciformes; Percidae. The transcript is spliced from 2 exons. The record is from RefSeq and is a predicted model, not a curated record.
AUUUAAAUCUGGAUCAGUGUGGGUGUAACGCCUGAACCUGUAGCUGAUUGUUUACCGUAUAUGGAGAUGAUAUUCAGCUGUUUACUUCAGACACAACCUCUCUCUGUAGGAGGAUAUAAAACAGCAGAUGAUUACAUUUCUAAUUCUUCAGAUUUGCAUCGUGUCAGAGUUCUGCUCUUCUCCUUCAGACUUUGCGCAGUUUAGCUUUUACAUUUCUACAUUUAAUCCUUUUUACUGAAAGAAAACCAGAGGACUGAAGGACAGAAGUUCUUCUGUUUUUGGAUCUUUGCGCCUGAAACUUUUCUGCACCAACUCUUCGACAACCAUGAAGAUCUCUAUCAUUGCCGGUGUGCUGCUGCUUUCUGCUGCCGUGAUCUCUCUGGAUGUCGUGAGAGAAGAAAAAACUCUGGCUGAAAAGUUUAUAAAUCAGCAUAUCAACGAGGAGAUGAACAGUAACAACUGCACCAAGGUGAUGAGUGACAGAGGAAUCACGGACUACAACGGCAACUGUAAGCUGAUGAAUACCUUCAUCGGAGCGCCUAUCGGAACCGUCAGAGACAUCUGUGGGACUGGAGGACAGAAAUACUUUAAUAAAAAGAAA